This 407-nucleotide ribosomal RNA is filed under the name uncultured bacterium. Its description in RNAcentral is "partial 16S ribosomal RNA". It matches the Rfam family "Bacterial small subunit ribosomal RNA", at positions 28 to 526 of the family's 1533-position model. The record is from RNAcentral.
GUUGAACGCUGGCGGCAGGCCUAACACAUGCAAGUCGAGCGGAGUGGCGGACGGGUGAGUAAUGCCUAGGAAUAUACCUGGUAUAUGGGGAUAACGUCCGGAAAGGGGCGCUAAUACCGCAUACUAUCAGAUGAGACUAGGGCGGAUGAGCGAGUUGGUGGGGUAAGGGCCUACCAAGGCGACUCACCGAAACUGGUAUGAGAGGAUGAUCAGUAACACUGGAACUGAGACACGGUCCAGACUCCUACGGGAGGCAGCAGUGGGGAAUAUUGGACAAUGGGCGAAAGCCUGAUCCAGCCAUGCCGCGUGUGUGAAGAAGGUCUUCGGAUGGUAAAGCACUUUUAGUUGGGAAGCGUUACCAACAGAAUAAGCACCGGCUAACUACGUGCCAGCAGCCGCGGUAAUAC